AUGAACGCUGGCGGCGUGCCUAAUACAUGCAAGUCGAGCGAACGGACGAGAAGCUUGCUUCUCUGAUGUUAGCGGCGGACGGGUGAGUAACACGUGGAUAACCUACCUAUAAGACUGGGAUAACUUCGGGAAACCGGAGCUAAUACCGGAUGAUAUUUUGAACCGCAUGGUUCAAAAGUGAAAGACGGUCUUGCUGUCACUUAUAGAUGGAUCCGCGCUGCAUUAGCUAGUUGGUAAGGUAACGGCUUACCAAGGCAACGAUGCAUAGCCGACCUGAGAGGGUGAUCGGCCACACUGGACCUGAGACACGGUCCAGACUCCUACGGGAGGCAGCAGUAGGGAAUCUUCCGCAAUGGGCGAAAGCCUGACGGAGCAGCGCCGCGUGAGUGAUGAAGGUCUUCGGCUCGUAAAACUCUGUUAUUAGGGAAGAACAUAUGUGUAAGUAACUGUGCGCAUCUUGACGGUACCUAAUCAGAAAGCCACGGCUAACUACGU
Molecule: ribosomal RNA, 495 nt
Filed under: uncultured bacterium
Lineage: Bacteria
Description: partial 16S ribosomal RNA
Rfam family: Bacterial small subunit ribosomal RNA
Source: RNAcentral